GACGAACGCUGGCGGCGUGCUUAACACAUGCAAGUCGAACGGAAAGGCCCGGCUUUUGUGGGGUGCUCGAGUGGCGAAGGGGUGAGUAACACGUGAGUAACCUGCCCUUGACUUUGGGAUAACUUCAGGAAACUGGGGCUAAUACCGGAUAGGAGCUCCUGCUGCAUGGUGGGGGUUGGAAAGUUUCGGCGGUUGGGGAUGGACUCGCGGCUUAUCAGCUUGUUGGUGGGGUAGUGGCUUACCAAGGCUUUGACGGGUAGCCGGCCUGAGAGGGUGACCGGCCACAUUGGGACUGAGAGACGGCCCAGACUCCUACGGGAGGCAGCAGUGGGGAAUAUUGCACAAUGGGCGGAAGCCUGAUGCAGCAACGCCGCGUGCGGGAUGACGGCCUUCGGGUUGUAAACCGCUUUCGCCUGUGACGAAGCGUGAGUGACGGUAAUGGGUAAAGAAGCACCGGCUAACUACGUG
RNAcentral lists this ribosomal RNA (468 nucleotides) under uncultured bacterium. RNAcentral describes it as "partial 16S ribosomal RNA". It matches the Rfam family "Bacterial small subunit ribosomal RNA", at positions 28 to 507 of the family's 1533-position model. The record is from RNAcentral.